GACAGCAGUAGCCGCGGUAAUACGAAGGGGGCUAGCGUUGUUCGGAUUUACUGGGCGUAAAGCGCACGUAGGCGGAUCGAUCAGUCAGGGGUGAAAUCCCAGAGCUCAACUCUGGAACUGCCUUUGAUACUGUCGAUCUGGAGUAUGGAAGAGGUGAGUGGAAUUCCAGGUGUAGCGGUGAAAUGCGUAGAGAUCUGGAGGAAUACCGGUGGCGAAGGCGGCCCCCUGGACAAAGACUGACGCUCAGGUGCGAAAGCGUGGGGAGCAAACAGGAUUAGAUACCCGUGUAGUCCCUGUCUCUUAUAC
Molecule: ribosomal RNA, 306 nt
Filed under: uncultured bacterium
Lineage: Bacteria
Description: partial 16S ribosomal RNA
Rfam family: Bacterial small subunit ribosomal RNA
Source: RNAcentral